RNAcentral lists this non-coding RNA (83 nucleotides) under Paenibacillus senegalimassiliensis. Its description in RNAcentral is "Purine riboswitch". The stretch from base 14 to 78 matches the Rfam family "Purine riboswitch aptamer", at positions 20 to 86 of the family's 102-position model. Rfam says of the family: Riboswitches are metabolite binding domains within certain messenger RNAs that serve as precision sensors for their corresponding targets. Allosteric rearrangement of mRNA structure is mediated by ligand binding, and this results in modulation of gene expression. The record is from RNAcentral. Lineage: Bacteria; Bacillati; Bacillota; Bacilli; Caryophanales; Paenibacillaceae.
AGAUAACUUAACGUUCGUAUAACCUCAAUAAUAUGGAUUGAGGGUCUCUACAAGGAACCAUAAAUUCCUGGCUACGAAUAGGG